Non-coding RNA from Pelobates cultripes (western spadefoot toad), 227 nucleotides. Lineage: Eukaryota; Metazoa; Chordata; Amphibia; Anura; Pelobatidae. The record is from the annotation of a GenBank genome assembly.
AUUUUGUAGCACACCUCUGCACUUUUUCUAGUGCCAUAAUAUCCUCCUUUAGAAAAGGUUCCCAAAAUUGCACAGCAUAUUCAAGAUGUGGAUUUACUAGGGAUUUAUAAAGAGGCAAAAUGAUAUUCUCAUCCCGAGAAUGAAUGCCCUUUUUCAAUGCAUGACUACCUGACUGGCCUUAGCCACUGCUAAUUGACAUUGCACAUUGUUGCAUAGUUUGUUGUCUU